AACGAACGCUGGCGGCAUGCCUAACACAUGCAAGUCGAACGAGACCUUCGGGUCUAGUGGCACACGGGUGCGUAACGCGUGGGAACCUGCCCUUAGGUUCGGAAUAACUCCCCGAAAGGGGUGCUAAUACCGGAUAAUGUCUUCGGACCAAAGAUUUAUCGCCUUUGGAUGGGCCCGCGUUGGCUUAGCUAGUUGGUAGGGUAAAAGCCUACCAAGGCGACGUUGCAUAGCUGGUCUGAGAGGAUGAUCAGCCACACUGGGACUGAGACACGGCCCAGACUCCUACGGGAGGCAGCAGUGGGGAAUAUUGGACAAUGGGCGAAAGCCUGAUCCAGCAAUGCCGCGUGAGUGAUGAAGGCCUUAGGGUUGUAAAGCUCUUUUACCCGGGAUGAUAAUGACGGUACCGGGAGAAUAAGCUCCGGCUAACUCCGUG
This 433-nucleotide ribosomal RNA is filed under the name uncultured bacterium. Its description in RNAcentral is "partial 16S ribosomal RNA". It matches the Rfam family "Bacterial small subunit ribosomal RNA", at positions 29 to 507 of the family's 1533-position model. The record is from RNAcentral.